This 468-nucleotide ribosomal RNA is filed under the name uncultured bacterium. RNAcentral's name for it is "partial 16S ribosomal RNA". It matches the Rfam family "Bacterial small subunit ribosomal RNA", at positions 28 to 507 of the family's 1533-position model. The record is from RNAcentral.
GACGAACGCUGGCGGCGUGCUUAACACAUGCAAGUCGAACGGAAAGGCCCUGCUUUUGUGGGGUGCUCGAGUGGCGAACGGGUGAGUAACACGUGAGUAACCUGCCCUUGACUUUGGGAUAACUUCAGGAAACUGGGGCGAAUACCGGAUAGGAGCUCCUGCUGCAUGGUGGGGGUUGGAAAGUUUCGGCGGUUGGGGAUGGACUCGCGGCUUAUCAGCUUGUUGGUGGGGUAGUGGCUUACCAAGGCUUUGACGGGUAGCCGGCCUGGGAGGGUGACCGGCCACAUUGGGACUGAGAUACGGCCCAGACUCCUACGGGAGGCAGCAGUGGGGAAUAUUGCACAAUGGGCGGACGCCUGAUGCAGCAACGCCGCGUGCGGGAUGACGGCCUUCGGGUUGUAAACCGCUUUCGCCUGUGACGAAGCGUGAGUGACGGUAAUGGGUAAAGAAGCACCGGCUAACUACGUG